AAAAAAACGUUUCAACUGUCCACCCACAUUUCACUACCUCUCAUAUACCAUCUCUGCUUGAAAAAAACCCACAACUCUCACUACGCUGCCGCUUGAAAAACCCAUCCACCAAUGUCGCCAAUCAACGCCAAAUCGGAGUUUUGGGAGACGAAGCAUGGAUCGGGUUCCGUCGACAGAGAGACGGUGGUGUGUCACUCAACCACCGGUGAGGGCAAGCUUUCUAACAGCAGUUAGGUGUCUCGAACUGGUUCACGGCGGCGCUUAGGGUUCUGGCGUCCUGCCUCUAUAUUAAGAUUUGGGAAGUUAAUUAUGAAGAGUUGAGAGUGAAUCGGAUCAACAGCCCGUCUCUCUGCAGCCGUAGCAGCAAGCUUUACCAACGAGCCACCGUCGUAAUGUGUGCACCUAUUCGAGGGAACUGGGAGUUGUUGACGGAGCUUGCAAAAAGUUGUCAUAUCGGGAUUAAGAUGGACUUCAUUAGGUACUUGGAUGUCAUUUGCUGCCAAACUAGGAGAUGUUGAUAGUUUAUGGAAGAGGAGAUGUUGAUAGUUUAUAGAAGAUUGAGAAAAUUAAGAUUGGGGCCGAUGAAAAUACACACAAUUGGUAGCGCUUUUUCAUGUGCAAAAGUGAUUACUUCUUGAAUGCAAACCCGAAGAAGCAGCCGCAAUAAUUCAAGCAGUCACUCAGAAAGUACAUACAUUUAGUUUCACGUCUAGAUUUUCAGUUAGAUUUUAGUGAGAUUCAUUUUAUGUAGCUUCGUUUUGUACAUCCUUGAUUUAUAGGUUAGGCGAUGUGACAAUGGAAUGUUAACUUGGGUUUUAUUUUGGGUUUUAUCAAGUAUGAUGCAUAUGGGAUCCCCGCCGCAUUGCGGCGGGUAAUAAAUCUAGUUAUAAUGUCAUUCAAACAGUUUUGAGAAAAAGGAUUGUGUAACUUUAUUAUUACAGUAAACUGUCAUUUUGGUCCCUGAGGUUUGGGCAGUUUUGCCACUUUAAUCCAAAACUUUCAUUUUGGUCCCUGUGAUUUCAGUUUUGUGCCAUUUUGGUCCAAAAGUGAAUUCAGCUCAUAUUCCUCAAAUUAAAUCCUUGUUUUCUGUCCUUAUCUUCAGGGGUAAAUUGGUUAUUUUUUUAUUUUUUAUUUAAAUUAAAGACCCCUCUGUCUCUCCCUUCUCUCUCUUAAAUUAGCAUACCCAAACCCUCUUAAAUUAGCAUACCCAAACCCUCAUAUUCAUUCUCUUCGCUGGAUCCACCACACCACGACCACCCUCCUCCUCCCUCUCACUCUCGUCUUCUCUGGCGAGGUUCUCCGGCAACACCACAAACUUCUCUUCUCAUCAAAGAUACAUACACACACUAUACCUAUACAUCUAGAGAGAGAAAGAUUGUGUGAGAAAUAGACCCAGAAAUCCAAACCUGAAACCCUCUUCUUUCUCUCUCUAAAAAUCCGAUCUUUAAAAAUCCGAUCUUGAAACCCAAACCUGAAACCCUCUUCUUUCUCUCUCUAAUGGAGAUGUCACAGUCCGAUCCGGUGACUAAACAAACAAGGCUCGAAGAGCCUGUGUGGCAGUUAGGGUUGCAGAUUGUUUCUCUCUCUAGGUUUUGAAAAUUUUUAUGGUUAUGGGAGAAUGAAGGAAGGUGACAGGUGGUGGUUGCAGGCGGCGGUUUGAAGAAGGGGCGGCAGGUGGUGGUUGAAGGUUGGUUUUAAUGGUGGUAGACUGAUGGUGAUGGUGGUGGAAGAGUACUGAGAGAGAGAGAUGGUGUGUGCGAGAGAGAGUGAAUGAAUGUGUGUAUCGCCGGAGUUCAAGAUUCCAUGGCGGUGAUUUCAGUCGGUUAUUCCGGUGCCGGAGUUGAAUGUUUUAGUUGUUUUGUUUCGCCGGUGACGGUACAUCUGGCGAAGAGAAUGAAUCAGGUUAACAGAUGAAUAUGAUUAUGAAUAUCUGAACUGUAUUAGAGAGAGAGAGAAUAGAGAGAGAGGGUGUUUAGAGAGGGAGAGAGU
This is a long non-coding RNA of Helianthus annuus (common sunflower), 1989 nucleotides long. RefSeq lists it as uncharacterized. Lineage: Eukaryota; Viridiplantae; Streptophyta; Magnoliopsida; Asterales; Asteraceae. The transcript has 7 exons. The record is from RefSeq and is a predicted model, not a curated record.